UACGAAGGGAGCAAGCGUUGUUCGGAAUUACUGGGCGUAAAGGGCGCGUAGGCGGAUGCAUUAGUCAGGGGUGAAAGCCUUGGGCUCAACCUGAGAACUGCCUUUGAUACUAUGCAUCUAGAGUCUGUGAGAGGAUAGCGGAAUACCCAGUGUAGAGGUGAAAUUCGUAGAUAUUGGGUAGAACACCAGUGGCGAAGGCGGCUAUCUGGCACAGUACUGACGCUGAGGCGCGAAAGCGUGGGGAGCAAACAGG
Molecule: unclassified non-coding RNA, 253 nt
Filed under: uncultured Rhodospirillales bacterium
Lineage: Bacteria; Pseudomonadati; Pseudomonadota; Alphaproteobacteria; Rhodospirillales
Description: contains 16S-23S intergenic spacer region
Rfam family: Bacterial small subunit ribosomal RNA
Source: RNAcentral